UACACCCCCAUAGUUCAACCACCUCCUACCAGACUCCUCUUCCAAUGCUGGGGAUUACAAUUCAACGUGAAAUUUCAGCAGAGACACUGACCCACAUCAUAUCAGGGAUAGGAAAUGCUACCUGUCUCAUUUUAAUCCAUAUUGAAGGCUUCAGAUUUCCUUCAUUCUCCAAGUGAUGCAAAACUAAGGCCAGAAUAUAGUCACUGCUGGGUCAGUGCAAAACCAACUCUGACCUUCUAACAUGAAACCUACUCCAUGAGACACCCUCCUCCCUCACAAGAUGGGUUGAUUACAUUGGAACCCUCUAUGAGCAGC
Molecule: long non-coding RNA, 315 nt
Organism: Piliocolobus tephrosceles (Ugandan red Colobus)
Lineage: Eukaryota; Metazoa; Chordata; Mammalia; Primates; Cercopithecidae
Exons: 3
Source: RefSeq, a predicted model, not a curated record